CAUGUAGGCGGUUUCGUAAGCCUGGUGUGAAAUCCUGCAGCUUAACUGUAGAAUGGCAUUGGGUACUGCGAGACUUGAAUCACGGAGGGGAAACUAGAAUUCCAGGUGUAGGGGUGGAAUCUGUAGAUAUCUGGAAGAAUACCGGUGGCGAAGGCGGGUUUCUAGCCGAUGAUUGACGCUGAGGUGCGAAAGUGCGGGGAGCAAACAG
This 208-nucleotide ribosomal RNA is filed under the name uncultured bacterium. RNAcentral's name for it is "partial 16S ribosomal RNA". It matches the Rfam family "Bacterial small subunit ribosomal RNA", at positions 568 to 775 of the family's 1533-position model. The record is from RNAcentral.